AAGAAAUUGAAAUGCAAUUUUCGUUGUUGUGUAAGAGAGAAAGCUAUCAGCCAAGCGAUUUGUCUGUAAUAUUCUCACAAGCACAACAGAAGCAAAGUAGUGGGAGAAAUACUGUUGUUUAUAUUCUGUGCUUUCUCUUGCAAGUAUAUUUUCAAGGUUAAACCAAAAUUAUCGUAUUUCUCAGCUACCAUUAAUGGUGUAUGGACUGAUUUUUCAUAUUCCAAAGCUGUGUAGCAACAUGCAAACUCUUUAACUAACCUGGGAGAUUGUCAGCUUUCCUUUUCAUUAAGGCUCAGUGCCAACAAUCUUUGCCAGAUGACAUCUCAGGUUUUUUGGUUUUUUUUUCUGCUUCCAAAUCACCAAUGGAUCUUUCUGAAGGCUAACUGCUAUGAAAUUAAUGAAGUACUGGGAACCAUCCUGUUGGGUAGCACGUCGGUGGAUCAGCAGCUCUCAGACAGUUGAGCUCCAUCUUCUGACAUGAACAUGUGUGAUCCAGUGCUCCCUGUUCUGAUGGGGUGCUGUCUGACCCUGUUUACAUUUCCACUGGCUCAUGUUCCUCAGCUUAUAGAUGAGAUGUUCCUCAGAGAGCUUCAGGGACAUCGCAGUGUGUAUUUAAGGAAUAUUCACAAAGAAAAUUCCUGAGGAAUGAAGAAAAGACCACAGCUUCCAGCUUUCCGCGAGCCUGGGCUGAUCAGCUCUGUGGAAAACAAUCCAUGUUAAUCUCUAUGAAAUCAGUGUGACCGGAUCUGCAGCCCAGCAGCAGUUCAGCAGCAAUGGAGCAUGGCUUUGGUGUUCAUUGACAGAGGAAUCCUUCUCGGUUGUGCUUUGGUCCAGAAGCCUUGUGUGUGUACAGCUGGAGGGUUGAACACUUGGAAUGGAAUGUGACUCUUAAUGUAUACUGUGAUAAGUAGACGGCUAUAGCGAGCUUAUGCAUAAAUAGCAAAUUAAUUGUAGUACUUCAGCAUUGCAGUGAAAGCGGAAAGCCUCAGGAAACCGGGCGAUUUUAGUGAAACUAAGCAUCAGCCUCUGAAACCCAAAUGAGCCCAGCUUGGUGCCCUGUGCGGAACGCUUUGGGCCGGAAGGGAACUUCACACCAACGACACGAGGAAUCGAGGCAUUCCAGGCGCAUUACGAAGGCCGCGAGCGCCGAAUCUCCGCCUCAACGCUCAGCACGGAGCGUCGCGGACGCCGCCC
Molecule: long non-coding RNA, 1194 nt
Organism: Gallus gallus (chicken)
Lineage: Eukaryota; Metazoa; Chordata; Aves; Galliformes; Phasianidae
Source: Ensembl